RNAcentral lists this long non-coding RNA (517 nucleotides) under Homo sapiens (human). RNAcentral's name for it is "HSALNT0204705". The record is from RNAcentral. Lineage: Eukaryota; Metazoa; Chordata; Mammalia; Primates; Hominidae.
AAAGAACAAAGCUGGAGGCAUCACUCUACCUGACUUCAAACUAUACUACAAGACUACAGUAACCAAAACAGCAUGGUACUGAUACCAAAACAGAGGUAAAGACCAAUGGAACAGAACAGAGCCCUCAGAAACAUUCAAACCAUUUCAUACAGAGCUCCUAGAAGAAUCUUUUUGGAAUACACAUCCAACAGUGUUAUUCUCUUAAUUUCCUUGGUUGGCUACCCAUUACUUCUAGCGUAGCAGACACGCUGCCGGAUGGACAAGUCAAGUCUUUGUCACAGAUUAGAAGUAAAGCAUCCAGACCACCAAAGCAAAGAGACAGAAGCUAUGGUCAUGGUUCAAUAGGUAGCAGAAAAACCACAGGAUUUCCAACUAACCUCAUGUUACUUUGUAAAAAAAGAGUAUAUAUGAAAAAAAAAUUUUUAACAGCUGAUUGCAAUUACAUUUUUGAUAUAUGUUAAAUAAAAUGCUUGUUUCACAUAUGACAAAGAUCCACCAAAGCAUAUUAUGAAUAUAU